RNAcentral lists this ribosomal RNA (253 nucleotides) under uncultured bacterium. Its description in RNAcentral is "partial 16S ribosomal RNA". It matches the Rfam family "Bacterial small subunit ribosomal RNA", at positions 524 to 776 of the family's 1533-position model. The record is from RNAcentral.
UACGUAGGUGGCAAGCGUUGCCCGGAUUUACUGGGUGUAAAGGGCGUGCAGCCGGAGAGACAAGUCAGAUGUGAAAUCCACGGGCUCAACCCGUGAACUGCAUUUGUAACUGUUUCCCUUGAGUGUCGGAGAGGUAAUCGGAAUUCCUUGUGUAGCGGUGAAAUGCGUAGAUAUAAGGAAGAACACCAGUGGCGAAGGCGGAUUACUGGACGAUAACUGACGGUGAGGCGCGAAAGCGUGGGGAGCAAACAGG